UACGUAGGGGCUAGCGUUAUCCGGAAUUACUGGGCGUAAAGGGUGCGUAGGUGGUUUCUUAAGUCAGAUGUGAAAUCUCCGGGCUUAACCCGGAAACUGCAUCUGAAACUGCAGAACUUGAGUACUGGAGAGGAUAGUGGAAUUCCUAGUGUAGCGGUAAAAUGCGUAGAUAUUAGGAGGAACACCGGUGGCGAAGGCGACUAUCUGGACAGUAACUGACGCUGAGGCGCGAAAGCGUGGGGAGCAAACAGGAUUAGAUACCCUGGUAGUCCCUGA
RNAcentral lists this ribosomal RNA (276 nucleotides) under uncultured prokaryote. Its description in RNAcentral is "partial 16S ribosomal RNA". It matches the Rfam family "Bacterial small subunit ribosomal RNA", at positions 524 to 800 of the family's 1533-position model. The record is from RNAcentral.